UGGGGGAAUAUUGGGCAAUGGGCGAAAGCCUGACCCAGCGACGCCGCGUGAGGGAAGACGGUCUUCGGAUUGUAAACCUCUUUCAGCAGGGAAGAAGCAAGUGACGGUACCUGCAGAAGAAGUCACGGCUAACUACGUGCCAGCAGCCGCGGUAAUACGUAGGUGGCGAGCGUUUAUCCGGAAUUACUGGGUGUAAAGGGUGUGUAGGCGGGGAAGCAAGUCAGAUGUGAAAACCAAAGGCUCAACCUUUGGCUUGCAUUUGAAACUGUUUUUCUUGAGAGUGGGAGAGGUAAACGGAAUUCCUAGUGUAGUAGUGAAAUGCAUAGAUAUGACGCAGAACUCCGAUUGCGAAGGCAGCUUUCCAG
This 365-nucleotide ribosomal RNA is filed under the name uncultured Oscillospiraceae bacterium. Its description in RNAcentral is "bacterial SSU rRNA". It matches the Rfam family "Bacterial small subunit ribosomal RNA", at positions 354 to 732 of the family's 1533-position model. The record is from RNAcentral. Lineage: Bacteria; Bacillati; Bacillota; Clostridia; Eubacteriales; Oscillospiraceae.